UGGAGCCCAGUAAACCGGGGAGCCUGU
RNAcentral lists this non-coding RNA (27 nucleotides) under Rattus norvegicus (Norway rat). The record is from RNAcentral. Lineage: Eukaryota; Metazoa; Chordata; Mammalia; Rodentia; Muridae.